Molecule: long non-coding RNA, 495 nt
Organism: Nyctereutes procyonoides (raccoon dog)
Lineage: Eukaryota; Metazoa; Chordata; Mammalia; Carnivora; Canidae
Exons: 3
Source: RefSeq, a predicted model, not a curated record
GCCAUGGUUCUCUGAAGAGAGGGCCUGUAUGGAGCGUGCCUGGAAUGAGAGAAGCAGAGGGACAGCUCCUGCGCUCUCCCCAGCGGGGCCUGGCAAGCAGGCUGUGUCUAGCAUCCUUGGAUCUCCAGGGCCUGGCACAAUGACUGACAUACAGAUGUUGUCACGUCUGGAGGGGAGACCUGGAAUUACUGAAACCAUCUUGCCAUCAGCCUGAGAUGGAGCAGAUGCAUGAGGAUGGCAGAGCAGAAAGAUGAUGCAAUAUUUGAUUUAAAAAAUAUUUGGCUGCCUCCUGAGAUCAUCUCACUAUUUGAAGUUGCCAGUCCAGACAGAAGCAAGUCUCCUCCAACUUGGUGAAGGAAGCAGUGAAAGUGGAGGUUUGAAGAUCCUUAGCAGCUAGAAGGAGCUGUAUGGAGUGAGAUCGGGAGGAGAAAGAAAGCAUGCACACUGCGUCUGCUGCUCUUACUUCAGUGGCGGAAAAACAGUGCUGGAAGGUGC